Molecule: long non-coding RNA, 479 nt
Filed under: Homo sapiens (human)
Lineage: Eukaryota; Metazoa; Chordata; Mammalia; Primates; Hominidae
Description: non-protein coding lnc-CPEB4-9:1
Source: RNAcentral
GUUUCAGAAGGGACACACUCAAACCAUAGCAUGUGGUUAAAGUCAUCCUCUCCAGGAGCUCCAAAAGGGCUGAGCUGGGUUCCUGCUUUGCUCACCAUUUUCUCCUGGCCUCUGGCCUCAGCUGGCACAUAGUGGGUGUACAACAAGCAUUUCUCAAAUUGAAUCAACCAACGCAGGAGCUUCAGCUAAGGAUGCUAAUAUGGAAAACAAGGAGAGGUAAGCGGUUUGAUUUUCCCCCCUUUCUCUCUUCAGGAAAUUGCUUUCUUAUGCAAGAGAAAUGCAAGUUCACCCACAGUGGAUCAGUCAUAUGAUAAGAAAUCUGUUUGCAAGACAGGGAAGCUCAUUUCCCUGUUGAGAAGCUGCAUUUGUUUGAGGGAGACAAGGAGAGAGAAAGCAUUUUUGCUGGGCACAGGGAAGGGAUUAAGGCAUCAUGACAAGCACAUUGCUUAGAAAUGAGCCCAAUUAAAAAAACAUGAACC